AGUAGACCAAGGCGCUUGAGAGAACUCUGCUGAAGGAACUAGGCAAAAUGGUACCGUAACUUCGGGAGAAGGUACGCUGUUGUUGGUGAUGGAACUCGCUUCCUGAGCUGACGACAGCCGCAGAAACCAGGCCGCUGCAACUGUUUAUUAAAAACAUAGCACUCUGCAAACACGAAAGUGGACGUAUAGGGUGUGAUGCCUGCCCGGUGCUGGAAGGUUAAUUGAUGGGGUUAGCGUAAGCGAAGCUCUUGAUCGAAGCCCCAGUAAACGGCGGCCGUAACUAUAACGGUCCUAAGGUAGCGAAAUUCCUUGUCGGGUAAGUUCCGACCUGCACGAAUGGCAUAAUGAUGGCGGCGCUGUCUCCAGCAGAGGCUCAGUGAAAUCGAAAUCGCUGUGAAGAUGCAGUGUACCCGCGGCUAGACGGAAAGACCCCGUGAACCUUUACUGCAGCUUGACACUGAACUUUGACCUUACUUGUGUAGGAUAGGUGGGAGGCUUUGAAGCUGGAACGCUAGUUCCAGUGGAGCCGUCCUUGAAAUACCACCCUGGUAAUGUUGAGGUUCUAACUCUGUCCCGUGAUCCGGGACGAGGACCGUGUCUGGUGGGUAGUUUGACUGGGGCGGUCUCCUCCUAAAGAGUAACGGAGGAGUACGAAGGUGCGCUCAGCGUGGUCGGAAAUCACGCGUAGAGUAUAAAGGCAAAAGCGCGCUUAACUGCGAGACCCACAAGUCGAGCAGGUACGAAAGUAGGUCUUAGUGAUCCGGUGGUUCUGUAUGGAAGGGCCAUCGCUCAACGGAUAAAAGGUACUCUGGGGAUAACAGGCUGAUACCGCCCAAGAGUUCAUAUCGACGGCGGUGUUUGGCACCUCGAUGUCGGCUCAUCUCAUCCUGGGGCUGAAGCAGGUCCCAAGGGUAUGGCUGUUCGCCAUUUAAAGAGGUACGCGAGCUGGGUUUAGAACGUCGUGAGACAGUUCGGUCCCUAUCUACCGUGGGCGCUGGAAAUUUGAGAGGAUCUGCUCCUAGUACGAGAGGACCAGAGUGGACGAACCUCUGGUGUACCGGUUGUGACGCCAGUCGCAUCGCCGGGUAGCUAUGUUCGGAAGGGAUAACCGCUGAAAGCAUCUAAGCGGGAAGCCUACCUCAAGAUAAGAUUUCCCUAGGACUUUAUGUCCUCUAAAGAGCCGUUCGAGACUAGGACGUUGAUAGGUUGGAUGUGGAAGCAUAGUGAUAUGUGAAGCUGACCAAUACUAAUUGCUCGUGAGGCUUGACUA
This 1270-nucleotide ribosomal RNA is filed under the name Acinetobacter baumannii 1419130. RNAcentral's name for it is "bacterial LSU rRNA". It matches the Rfam family "Bacterial large subunit ribosomal RNA", at positions 1675 to 2925 of the family's 2925-position model. The record is from RNAcentral. Lineage: Bacteria; Pseudomonadati; Pseudomonadota; Gammaproteobacteria; Moraxellales; Moraxellaceae.